This 440-nucleotide ribosomal RNA is filed under the name uncultured bacterium. RNAcentral's name for it is "partial 16S ribosomal RNA". It matches the Rfam family "Bacterial small subunit ribosomal RNA", at positions 339 to 795 of the family's 1533-position model. The record is from RNAcentral.
CUACGGGGGGCAGCAGUGGGGAAUCUUGCGCAAUGGGCGAAAGCCUGACGCAGCAACGCCGCGUGCGGGAUGAAGGCCUUCGGGCUGUAAACCGCUUUCAGCAGGAACGAAAAUGACGGUACCUGCAGAAGAAGGAGCGGCCAACUACGUGCCAGCAGCCGCGGUGACACGUAGGCUCCAAGCGUUGUCCGGAGUUAUUGGGCGUAAAGAGCUCGUAGGCGGUUGAGUAAGUCGGGUGUGAAAACUCUGGGCUUAACCCGGAGACGCCAUCCGAGACUGCUCUGACUAGAGUUCAGGAGGGGAGUGGGGAAUUCCUAGUGUAGCGGUGAAAUGCGCAGAUAUUAGGAGGAACACCGGUGGCGAAGGCGCCACUCUGGACUGAAACUGACGCUGAGGAGCGAAAGCGUGGGUAGCAAACAGGAUUAGAUACCCGCGUAGUC